UCCUCCUAGUAAAUGAGAGAUACUUAGAAACCCUCUUGACAAGGAUGGAAGAGGCCCUUGGGCCUAAUAACACACAUGCGAGUAAGGCAAAGCCUUAUUUCAUUAUUGAGUGUCUCUCCUUCUUCUAU
Grammomys surdaster is the source of this 128-nucleotide small nuclear RNA. NCBI's taxonomy places the organism in Eukaryota, Metazoa, Chordata, Mammalia, Rodentia, Muridae. The record is from RefSeq and is a predicted model, not a curated record.